This 458-nucleotide ribosomal RNA is filed under the name Clostridioides difficile. RNAcentral's name for it is "bacterial SSU rRNA". It matches the Rfam family "Bacterial small subunit ribosomal RNA", at positions 1 to 484 of the family's 1533-position model. Lineage: Bacteria; Bacillati; Bacillota; Clostridia; Peptostreptococcales; Peptostreptococcaceae. The record is from RNAcentral.
UUUUAUUUGAGAGUUUGAUCCUGGCUCAGGAUGAACGCUGGCGGCGUGCCUAACACAUGCAAGUUGAGCGAUUUACUUCGGUAAAGAGCGGCGGACGGGUGAGUAACGCGUGGGUAACCUACCCUGUACACACGGAUAACAUACCGAAAGGUAUGCUAAUACGGGAUAAUAUAUUUGAGAGGCAUCUCUUGAAUAUCAAAGGUGAGCCAGUACAGGAUGGACCCGCGUCUGAUUAGCUAGUUGGUAAGGUAACGGCUUACCAAGGCGACGAUCAGUAGCCGACCUGAGAGGGUGAUCGGCCACAUUGGAACUGAGACACGGUCCAAACUCCUACGGGAGGCAGCAGUGGGGAAUAUUGCACAAUGGGCGAAAGCCUGAUGCAGCAACGCCGCGUGAGUGAUGAAGGCCUUCGGGUCGUAAAACUCUGUCCUCAAGGAAGAUAAUGACGGUACUUGAGG